UACCAGCACCCCGAGUGGUCGGGACGUUUUAUUGGGCCUAAAGCAUCCAUAGCCGGUUCUACAAGUCUUCCGUUAAAUCCACUGCUUAACAGAUGGGCUGCGGAAGAUACUAUGGAGCUAGGAGGCGGGAGAGGCAAGCGGUACUCGAUGGGUAGGGGUAAAAUCCGUUGAUCCAUUGAAGACCACCAGUGGCGAAGGCGGCUUGCCAGAACGCGCUCGACGGUGAGGGAUGAAAGCUGGGGGAGCAAACCGG
Molecule: ribosomal RNA, 253 nt
Filed under: uncultured bacterium
Lineage: Bacteria
Description: partial 16S ribosomal RNA
Rfam family: Archaeal small subunit ribosomal RNA
Source: RNAcentral